GGAAAACGCCGGGCGGUCCACUAGCUUGUAGGCGUUGACUUCGCUGUAGUUCCAAGGGGCCACCGUGUCCACUACGGGGCCAGCGGUGCCGUUUAGGUCCCGAGGGGAAUCCCUUCUGAAACUUUGCAUUUGAGAGGAAAUUGUGACAGAAGGAGAGGGAAGUCACUUCCACUGCUUCUCAGUGUCAUGAGACUGACCCGCCCACCCUGCUGACUGAGUGCUGUGCCGGAACCAGCUGAGUCAAAGGAUGCUGACCUCUGAAAAAUCUGAAGAAGAAAUAUGAGCAACAAGAUAAAGCACUCUUUAAUGAGCUCAUUAUCCUGAUAAUAAAACACUCAGUUCCUGACUAAAUGCUGUAGAUGAAGAACUUACCUUGUAAUGCUGAGUUUCUAAGUUCGAAGGUUUGGAGAGACGUUGUUGUACUUUUGAGGGACUUGUUCUACCCAGACACUAUCCCGUUGCUCUGGAUGGUCAGAAUCAGCUCAUGGGGUGCUCUGAGUCAUUUUGAGUCAAUUUAAAUUUAUUUUACCAUGCUUCUUUCUCCUAAAAAUUCCCAGGCUGUUCACUGUCUGCCCUGAAAAAUGUGUACGUAAGGACACUGACAAUCAGUGUGAUACAGUGCAUGUCACAGUCAAUUUACUGUGACUUUAACCUCCUCCAGUCUAAUAAAAUGGUUAAGUUAUAGUUCUUUUUGUAUUAAGCAUACCUAAAGCCUUUCAUCCCUAUUUCAACUAUAUUUGUUAUUUAUUUUUAUUUGGAAAAUAGGUAUGUGGACAGAUUGCCGUAAAAUAAAAUGAACCAAUGGCUUGGGUGCCGGACAGACAGUGAGGACCAGUAUACUUCCAUGUAAUUUGCAAUGAUGAGCAAAUUAGCCUGAUGAAAUAACGAGUGACAUGAUAAACAGUAUCCAAUAAGGAGAGAUGAGACUGAAACAUUUGCGUAGAGAAUGUCUCUAUUUUGAAGUACAGGUUAGAAAGUGGCUGUAUCAAAUAUAUUAUCAUAUAUUUUGUAAAUUUUUGAUUUAUUGUACCAAAACCAAAAAAAUGUAACCAUGUGCAAUUAACAUUUUAAUGGCCCUCUCAUGGACAUUUGGUAUGAACCAUUUAUGUAAAUGUAUGAAACAGUUAAAAACAUUUACUAAGUGAAAGAAAAAACAAUUACACGCAUGGCAAUGGUAACGGGGUUAAACAUUUACUAAGUAGGGGUAAAUGUUUCAAACAUUCCCUCAGUAAGAAGAAUACACUUUCAUCAUGAUGGGCUAAUUAUUCCAUCACAGCUUGUGCACUGCAGGUAAAACACCGGCUAGGUUUAGCAAUGUAUCUCUCUCUCUCUCUCUCUCUCUCUCUCUCUCUCUCUCUCUCCCUUCUCUCUGUCUACUGUAAUUCCUAAUAUUUUUAAAAAAUAUUAAAGAUAUUAAAAAUCUGUUCUCUAUAAGUAGUGAGCCUACAGCCAGAU
This is a long non-coding RNA of Anguilla anguilla (European eel), 1455 nucleotides long. RefSeq lists it as uncharacterized. Lineage: Eukaryota; Metazoa; Chordata; Actinopteri; Anguilliformes; Anguillidae. The transcript is spliced from 3 exons. The record is from RefSeq and is a predicted model, not a curated record.